CGUAUGGUGUUCAGCUUCGGGCUGGAUAGCGAUACGGCCUUAAGAUUGAGGU
Molecule: non-coding RNA, 52 nt
Filed under: Alteromonas confluentis
Lineage: Bacteria; Pseudomonadati; Pseudomonadota; Gammaproteobacteria; Alteromonadales; Alteromonadaceae
Also listed under: 1 other name
Description: L31-Gammaproteobacteria ribosomal protein leader
Rfam family: L31-Gammaproteobacteria ribosomal protein leader
Source: RNAcentral